UUGUUUGGACAUUUUUAAAAC
Caenorhabditis elegans is the source of this 21-nucleotide non-coding RNA. NCBI's taxonomy places the organism in Eukaryota, Metazoa, Nematoda, Chromadorea, Rhabditida, Rhabditidae. The record is from Ensembl.